Molecule: ribosomal RNA, 523 nt
Filed under: uncultured Dechloromonas sp.
Lineage: Bacteria; Pseudomonadati; Pseudomonadota; Betaproteobacteria; Rhodocyclales; Azonexaceae
Description: bacterial SSU rRNA
Rfam family: Bacterial small subunit ribosomal RNA
Source: RNAcentral
UAAUACGUAGGGUGCGAGCGUUAAUCGGAAUUACUGGGCGUAAAGCGUGCGCAGGCGGUUUAGUAAGACAGGCGUGAAAUCCCCGGGCUCAACCUGGGAACUGCGCUUGUGACUGCUAAGCUAGAGUACGGCAGAGGGGGGUGGAAUUCCACGUGUAGCAGUGAAAUGCGUAGAGAUGUGGAGGAACACCGAUGGCGAAGGCAGCCCCCUGGGCCGAUACUGACGCUCAUGCACGAAAGCGUGGGUAGCAAACAGGAUUAGAUACCCUGGUAGUCCACGCCCUAAACGAUGUCAACUAGGUGUUGGGUGGGUAAAACCAUUUAGUACCGUAGCUAACGCGUGAAGUUGACCGCCUGGGGAGUACGGCCGCAAGGUUAAAACUCAAAGGAAUUGACGGGGACCCGCACAAGCGGUGGAUGAUGUGGAUUAAUUCGAUGCAACGCGAAAAACCUUACCUACCCUUGACAUGUCCAGAAGCCCGAAGAGAUUUGGGUGUGCCCGAAAGGGAGCUGGAACACAGGUG